Molecule: long non-coding RNA, 1052 nt
Filed under: Zalophus californianus (California sea lion)
Lineage: Eukaryota; Metazoa; Chordata; Mammalia; Carnivora; Otariidae
Description: lncRNA (ENSZCAG00015019089.1)
Source: RNAcentral
CUCCGGUCCGCCAGACGGCGUGCCGCCGCCGCCGCCACCCCGCGCACUAGAGCCUCGGCGCCAGCCUCGUGCGCCCUCGCCGCCUCCCCGCGGCCCCCGGCCUGCGCCCCUGGGGGUCCCGCGGCUGACCCGCGCGGGAUGUGACCUCUUACCGCUGCCCGGCCUCCCCUGCCCCUCCCCUGCUUGCUUUUGGGGGUGGGGGGUGUGGGGAGCGGCGCGCGGAUCGUGGCGUUGCAGUUCCCGGGCUUGCAUCUGCUUCCCGAAGCAGCAGCGGAGAAGGUGAAGCGGCGGGCUGGGGCGAGGCAGAUGGGGCUCAAGGCGCGCAGGGCGGCGAGGGUGGCUGGCGGCGGCGGCGGCGGGGCCGCUAACCCGGCCGGAGGGGACGCGGCGGCGGCCGGCGACAAGGAGAUUUGGAAAGUGGGGCUGGCGCCCGGCGACGUGAAACAAAUCACCUUGGCGCUCGGGGCCGGAGCUUUCAAAGACGGGACCCUGCUGCUCGAGGGCAGCGGCCGCGACGAGGGGCUGCGGAGGACCCCGCAGGGCAUCGGGCUCCUGGCCAAGACCCCCCCCUGAGCCGCCCUGUCACGAGGAACAACGCCAAGUCCCCGCGCAUCCAAACUUUGAUCUACGACGCCCUCGAGAGACGACGGGGCUGGGCGCUGCUCUACCACGCGCUCGUACUCUUGGAGCUACCUAAGCGGCAGAACUGGGAUCUCGCAGGGGUGUUGCGCCUAUGUCCUAGUGCUGUCUUCACCAUGUCACUGCUGUCCCCAGUGGCAGACGAUACAGAAAAAGACCAUGAUACCAAAUUAGCUUCUUUCAAAGAACAAGAUGCUGGGGUCCUUCCCAUGGGAGGUGUGAUACAUCGUCUGAACAAACCAGUUCUGGGAUUCAUUCUUCACCCCUCUAGGAGCAAGAUGGAGUUGCAGCCAUGGAUGAUGCCCAGGAGGGCCCCUGGAUAAGAUUGUAAGUGACCGAAGUGUGCAGGGAUAGGUGUGAGUUGGGAAGAUUAAGGGAAUGAAUAAUGGAAAUUUGCAGGUAAUUUGUUUUGC